UAGACUUACAGUAUCUGUUCUUAAACAAAUUUGGUCCAAAUAGUUGUCAAAACUCAACACUGUGUGAUAUCAGACAAAAUAUGCAUUUUCAUGUACAUAAAGUUGUAAAGAUAUUAACAUACUUUUCAGACAAAGACAGUUAGCAGUGAGCAACAUUCAUAUGCUAAAUAGAAAACAAGGCAUGCAGUGCAGCUCUCCAAAAAAUUGGACUGUCCUGCUUCUAUCAUUCUGAAGGAAGUGUUGAUAUUCACCCCUGAAAAGGGUUCAUCAAGCGAGCUGGACAAAAAAAUGGCUGCUUCUAAUGUGAGGAGUGAUCUGAGUAAAGGCAUCAAGAAGAUAAUGGUGGUGUUUCCUAACAUCGAACACAAGUACCAUACAAGUGGAGAGAACGCUGGGCUGUUGCAACGUAUCGACAGUGAUGUUACCUCAAAAAUUAAAAAACUUGUGGUGGAAGAGGGCGUUGCAAAUGUUGAAGAAAUGCAAUGCCAUCUGACCUCAUUUGUUAUGAAGAAUGUAACACCUGCUCCAUCAAGAACUAAAAGGAGAUUUGCCCCUACAAAAAAGUGAUCAGAUAUCACAUGAAUAAGGCAGCAAAGAAGGGUUGUGAUAGCAAUGAUGACCAACACAACUUAGUUCAACUUGUGAGUGUGCUUAGUGUGUAAUUAACAGUUACUUCAAUACAGAUAUAUAUUUAUCACAUGCCAUACCCUGCUUCCCCAUGUAAUAUAAUCAUUACGAAUAUUUUUAUCUUACACAUGUGUAAUAUACUUUUUAAGGAUUUUCAUUGGCUUAUUUUCGUUUGAUUGACCAAUCGCAUUUUGUUAUGUUGCUGAAAUAACAUUGCAACGUCAAAUGACGUCACGAAAUGUAAACAACAUUUCGGAUUUAUCAUUAAGUUUGCGAAAAUAUUUUAAUAAUUUUUUGUGUCCGGAGCCAUAUCUUGGAAGUGCUUUGGCGGAUUUCAUUGAAACUUGGUAUGAGUAUAAAUAUGGAUAAGAGGAUGAUACAUAACAUUUGACAGAGUUGUACAUCUCAUUAGGCGAAAUUUAAGAAAUUGUGUUAUUAUAUUUUCAUAUAUUACUUUUCGGCCUAAGAUGCUAAGGUCAUACAUUGUUUUGUAAACGAAACAUGCGACAUAAUUUUCCUUUAUCAUUUACAUUUGUUGUAAAUAGUGAACAUAUUAAAAUUCUGAUGUCUGAUAUUAAUUUGCCUCUUGUGAAUAGAUUUGUACCAUUGUUUUGUUAAAUGGACCUUUUCACGUUUUGGUAA
This is a long non-coding RNA of Dreissena polymorpha, 1269 nucleotides long. RefSeq lists it as uncharacterized. The record is from RefSeq and is a predicted model, not a curated record. Lineage: Eukaryota; Metazoa; Mollusca; Bivalvia; Myida; Dreissenidae. The transcript is spliced from 3 exons.